UACGUAGGUGGCAAGCGUUGUCCGGAUUUACUGGGCGUAAAGGGAGCGUAGGUGGACAUUUAAGUGGGAUGUGAAAUACUCGGGCUUAACCUGAGUGCUGCAUUCCAAACUGAAUAUCUAGAGUGCAGGAGAGGAAAGUAGAAUUCCUAGUGUAGCGGUGAAAUGCGUAGAGAUUAGGAAGAAUACCAGUGGCGAAGGCGACUUUCUGGACUGUAACUGACACUGAGGCUCGAAAGCGUGGGGAGCAACCAGG
RNAcentral lists this ribosomal RNA (253 nucleotides) under uncultured bacterium. RNAcentral describes it as "partial 16S ribosomal RNA". It matches the Rfam family "Bacterial small subunit ribosomal RNA", at positions 524 to 776 of the family's 1533-position model. The record is from RNAcentral.